RNAcentral lists this ribosomal RNA (308 nucleotides) under alpha proteobacterium R2A57. RNAcentral describes it as "bacterial SSU rRNA". It matches the Rfam family "Bacterial small subunit ribosomal RNA", at positions 38 to 372 of the family's 1533-position model. The record is from RNAcentral. Lineage: Bacteria; Pseudomonadati; Pseudomonadota; Alphaproteobacteria; Rhodobacterales; Paracoccaceae.
GGCGGCAGGCUUAACACAUGCAAGUCGAGCGCUCUCCUUCGGGAGGGAGCGGCGGACGGGUUAGUAACGCGUGGGAACAUACCCUUCUCUAAGGAAUAGCCACUGGAAACGGUGAGUAAUACCUUAUACGCCCUUCGGGGGAAAGAUUUAUCGGAGAGGGAUUGGCCCGCGUUAGAUUAGAUAGUUGGUGGGGUAACGGCCUACCAAGUCUACGAUCUAUAGCUGGUUUUAGAGGAUGAUCAGCAACACUGGGACUGAGACACGGCCCAGACUCCUACGGGAGGCAGCAGUGGGGAAUCUUGGACAAU